GACUCCUACGGGAGGCAGCAGUGGGGAAUCUUGCGCAAUGCGCGAAAGCGUGACGCAGCAACGCCGCGUGGGGGAAGAAGGCUUUCGGGUUGUAAACCCCUUUCAGUUGGGACGAAGCUUCGCCGGUUAAUAGCCGGCCGGAGUGACGGUACCUUCACAAGCCCCACCGGCUAACUACGUGCCAGCAGCCGCGGUAAUACGUAGGGUGCAAGCGUUGUCCGGAAUUAUUGGGCGUAAAGAGCGUGUAGGCGGCCCGACAAGUCCGCUGUGAAAGUUCAGGGCUCAACCCUGGAAUGCCGGUGGAUACUGUCGGGCUAGAGUCCGGAAGGGGCGAGUGGAAUUCCUGGUGUAGCGGUGAAAUGCGCAGAUAUCAGGAGGAACACCAAUGGCGAAGGCAGCUCGCUGGGACGUGACUGACGCUGAGACGCGAAAGCGUGGGGAGCAAACGGGAUUAGAUACCCUGGUAGUCCACGCUGUAAACGAUGACAACUAGAUGUGGGGGGUGUCGACUCCCCCCGUGUCGAAGCUAACGC
This 533-nucleotide ribosomal RNA is filed under the name uncultured bacterium. RNAcentral describes it as "bacterial SSU rRNA". It matches the Rfam family "Bacterial small subunit ribosomal RNA", at positions 334 to 858 of the family's 1533-position model. The record is from RNAcentral.